UACGGAAGGUCCGGGCGUUAUCCGGAUUUAUUGGGUUUAAAGGGAGCGUAGGCCGGAGGCUAAGCGUGUUGUGAAAUGUAGUCGCUCAACGGGUGCACUGCAGCGCGAACUGGCUUUCUUGAGUGCGCGGUAAGCCGGCGGAAUUCGUUGUGUAGCGGUGAAAUGCUUAGAUAUGACGAAGACCUCCGAUUGCGAAGGCAGCUGGCUGUAGCGUAACUGACGCUGAUGCUCGAAAGCGUGGGUAU
This 245-nucleotide ribosomal RNA is filed under the name uncultured Prevotella sp. RNAcentral describes it as "partial 16S ribosomal RNA". It matches the Rfam family "Bacterial small subunit ribosomal RNA", at positions 524 to 768 of the family's 1533-position model. Lineage: Bacteria; Pseudomonadati; Bacteroidota; Bacteroidia; Bacteroidales; Prevotellaceae. The record is from RNAcentral.